RNAcentral lists this long non-coding RNA (625 nucleotides) under Gossypium barbadense (sea-island cotton). Its description in RNAcentral is "long non-coding RNA (GBAR_LNC011709)". Lineage: Eukaryota; Viridiplantae; Streptophyta; Magnoliopsida; Malvales; Malvaceae. The record is from RNAcentral.
GCCCACGCAGAUCUCCCCCACUUACACUGCACCAUUUUGAAUUCUGCACAAAAAUCAAGCCUAAAAAAACUUAAGAUCAAGCACUUGGCCACUUUAUCAAAAUCAAAAUAAAGAAGAAAAAACAAACGCUUCCACUCGGCUGAACCAAAAUCUCUCAUUCGAACCCCUUUUCUCUUCUCGACGGAUCGUGUUAUGUAAUGGCCAAUCAAGGCCCUAUUCAACCAGAGGUUCGCGAGUUUCGCUCACUAGCCUUAGAAUCGUCACCUAACUUCGAUUGUGACGAAUCAAGUGAGGAUUCGAAUGAGCCAACUCUCUGGUGAGUCAUUUUCUCUUUUCUGAUUUUUGUUUUUAUAUGCAGUAACAAAGAUUUGUGAAAUAGGAGCAGAAUCGAAAAGAAAGAAAUAAUCUAAAAUCACCUUAGUUUUUCCUCGCUUUUUCCUUCUAUUUUCAUAUUCCCCCCAUACAAAUUACAUUUGGUCUUUAUUUAUAGCCGAAUAAAGAGAAAAACAGAAAAUCAAAGAAAUUCCCUAGAUCUUUCUAUUAAUUCGCUACCCAUUUGCUGUAAAUUUGCUGUGUUGUUGCGCCCCUCUUGCUGUGGCUUGUGGUUUGUUAAUUUGUUACAGGU